UACGUAGGGUCCGAGCGUUGUCCGGAGUUACUGGGCGUAAAGCGCGCGCAGGCGGCGGUGCUGGCCCGGCGUGAAAGCCCCCGGCUCAACCGGGGAGGGUCGUCGGGGACCGCACCGCUUGAGGGCGGUAGGGGCUGGUGGAAUGCCUGGUGUAGUGGUGAAAUGCGUAGAGAUCAGGAGGAACACCGAUGGCGAAGGCAGCUCGCUGGGACGGUACUGACGCUAAGGCGCGAAGGCGUGGGGAGCGAACAGG
Molecule: ribosomal RNA, 253 nt
Filed under: uncultured bacterium
Lineage: Bacteria
Description: partial 16S ribosomal RNA
Rfam family: Bacterial small subunit ribosomal RNA
Source: RNAcentral